UUGCAAGUCAGGGUUGGAAGGGAGAAAAAAAAAAUACAGAAAAAGGCUGCUACUGUUCCAUUGGGAUUUGGGUCUCAAUUUGAAGAAUUAUCACUCUUAAAAUCGAUUUUGUUUCUUCCUCUGAAAUGGUUCAAAGCUUGGCUAAAUUCAAGUUUGGCUUGGGGUACAAACUCAGAAUUUCCCAUGAUGUAAACUCAAUUUGAAGGUGAAAUGAAAGGAAGUGCUGAGUUCUGUUAAUAAUUUUGAUUUUGCUAUGAUUCUGUUCCUUUAUGAUGUUUAUGUGUUAAACAUUUGAUUCAAAUGUAGUUAGUCUAGCUGAUGCUGAUUAAUUAUCAUGUUGUAGUCAAUUGUGGACUGUUGGACUUUGGGAAUCAUGUUGUGCUUGGACUUUAAGUUGUUGUUUUGGGUUUGAUCUAGAUUAAAUCCCCUUGUAAUUAAUAUUUUCAUGUUGGGUAUUGUUAGAUACACUAUGUUUUUGACUUGA
Nicotiana tabacum (common tobacco) is the source of this 484-nucleotide long non-coding RNA. RefSeq lists it as uncharacterized. The record is from RefSeq and is a predicted model, not a curated record. Lineage: Eukaryota; Viridiplantae; Streptophyta; Magnoliopsida; Solanales; Solanaceae.